AACCUAGCACACCUGCGGUGUGUACCUGCGGAGGGAUCAUUACUGUGCCCCGUCAGAGCGUCACGCCCUCCAGCGUUGGCGUCUCUGCACCUGGCUCCCACCCGUGCUUACCUUACCUCUUGUUGCUUUGGCGGGCUGGCCGCUAAGGCCGCCGGGGAUAGCGGGGGGUUUAGGCCUCUCGCGUCCCGGUUCACGCCCGUCAGGGGACCUCUUUUUGAACUCUUAUGAAGCGAUGUCUCG
Molecule: unclassified non-coding RNA, 240 nt
Filed under: soil metagenome
Description: partial contains 5.8S ribosomal RNA, internal transcribed spacer 2, and large subunit ribosomal RNA
Source: RNAcentral